GGGUCACUAGCUCAACUGGUAGAGCAACGCCCUCUUAAGGCGUGGGUUCAGGGUUCGAGUCCCUGGUGACUCACAA
RNAcentral lists this transfer RNA (76 nucleotides) under Candidatus Roizmanbacteria bacterium RIFCSPHIGHO2_02_FULL_38_11. RNAcentral describes it as "tRNA-Lys". It matches the Rfam family "tRNA". From Rfam's summary of the family: Transfer RNA (tRNA) molecules are approximately 80 nucleotides in length. The record is from RNAcentral. RNAcentral also lists the same sequence under 1 other name. Lineage: Bacteria; Candidatus Roizmaniibacteriota.